Molecule: long non-coding RNA, 2797 nt
Organism: Carassius auratus (goldfish)
Lineage: Eukaryota; Metazoa; Chordata; Actinopteri; Cypriniformes; Cyprinidae
Exons: 3
Source: RefSeq, a predicted model, not a curated record
ACACUGUAAGAAAUGAUUCUGUGGUCAUGUAGAUUUGAAUGAAUGUUUUUGAUUAAAAUGUAUUCAAUAUAAUUGUGUUUUUGAUUUUGAGGCAAAUAUUUAAUUAAAUUUCAAAUAAAAAUGGUUGGAAUAAAAUCUACCCAUUGUAGUUAAAUAAAAUGUAAGCAUUAUAUUUAUCUAAUCCCAAAUGGAGAGAAUAUUGAGUUAAUUCAAAUUAAUGUAAUCGGGCUAAUUUUAAUUGAAAAGCACUUCCUGUCGAAGUGAGCCUUUUUAUUUUAAAAAUGCAGCAGGCCUACAAGGCAUUUGAAGAGAGUAGGCUACAGACAGUGAAUGUUCGUUUUCUUCCACAUUGCUCAUCUUGCAAAAUUUGACUGGUUGACUUAGGUAAGAAAACUUAUUUUGUUAUCACUGGGCUACUAAGAAAAACGCAUGUAGUAGUAUAUUACAAUAUAAAAUGAGUUAUCACAGAAAAAGAGACUCAGCAGCAACACAAAGUUGGCUUCUGUUGGAAGGCUAUGUGAUGUUGUUGCGCUAUAAUAUUGACACAGCAUCAUACAUUUUGGAAGAAUUCUUAUGUAUCGAAGUCAAACGUUUAUUUUGAAGGAUGUGGGUUACCUUUUUCUCUAUCAUGGUUCCUAGGUCUUUUGUGUGUUAAUAUUAUAUCCUAAGUAUGUUUUGUAUGAAAUUGCGUAAAUAAGUACAUGGCGUUUAAUUUUAAGGUUCCAUAAAGCGCAAUAUUUGGGGUUUUCGCUGGAUGAGGAUCUUAUAUUUUAGACGGCACUUGACGCAGUUCCGUUGGCUUUACUUCUCGUGUGUGGAGCUCGUCUUCCAGAGGCAGGUAACUUAACUUCUCUCUUUGUUUCACUGUUUUGUAAGUUAACUUAGCUAAAUCCACAUGUAGUCAGUCUAUUAACAGUGUUAUGUUUAAGAGCCACAAUUUUAUUUAUUUUCAUGCAUAAAUCUGUUAAUUUUAAUGUGGUAAUCUUACAUUGGCACAAACUCUAUAAUUUUACAGCUAAACCCUACACUAAAAAUUGAAAAAAAAUAUUCAUACUUUGAUUAAUAAUUAGUCUAACACGUUUUUUUCUCCCACAAAGUUUCAAUAAUGUCAUUAAAAUCUUUAAAAUUACAUUAACUCUUCCUCAUUUACAAUUCCAGAAUGAUUAAAUUGGAAAAUAUUGUGGAGGAGGACUUCAGUACUCUGACAGUGGCAAAAAGUAUUGAAUGUUAGACAGUUUAUAUGAAAGAGGUUUAAAAGGCUAAGAACUGAUGUGAUAUCUUUGUCGCCUUUGUGUUUCAGAUCAAUGCAGAAUUUCAAAGAACAACUACUGUACUUCAAGUACCGAAAUUUAUGUCUGUGUUUGACUGUCACACUCCCAAGCUACUGACGCCAUUUUGUGCCAACGAUGGAGCACUUGGAAGAAGACUGGAGAUCAUAAAGGAAAUGCUGCAGUGAUUGACUUCCUCCCCAGCACUCUUCGAUUGAGAGGACCAGAGAGAUUGUUCCUCGGUAUCUUACAAAAAAUACCUUGGAGAACAAGGGGGACAUCUUAUCAAAGAAUUCAACGACACUGAGAACUUGGAGGAACUUGAACAGCUCAUAAUGGCCAUUAAUGUGACCCCAAAGCGUGGAGCUUCUACAAGCAACUGCCCAAAGAACAUUGGGAUCCUCAUUAAGGGCGUGGAAGUCAUCACAGGACUUGGAGAUAUUGCAAGGGCUUGCAUUGUCCUCUUUGGCUUGACCUACGCGCUGAAUCUUGAUUAUCCCAGACUACCGAAGUGCUGCUUCAAACUUCAGGCUUGAAAUGGGACUGUAUUGCAGUGCAGACUUUUGUGCUACACAAUGUUCAUCUUCUACAGAGCUUGGGAAUUGCAAUUUUAAGUUGAAGUCAGCAUUUUGUCCUUUUCAAAGUUCUGAAAAAGUUUGAAAUGCUUGAGCAAACUUCUGGCUUUAAAAAAGAGACAGUAGUAGUUGCAGUGUACAUGAUUUGCUACACAAUGUUUAGCUUCUACAGAGCUUGGGAAUUACACAUCUGAAAGUGUUAUGUUUGUAAGUUAGCACUGAUUUGGACUCUUAUCCCACGAAUGUCAGUGAUAUUUCUAGUUCAAAGUACGAAAUGUUUAUUGCUCUGUACAAAUUACACUUUUCUGCUUUUUUUGGUACAUGCACCUCUGGAGGAUUUUCCUUUAAGAUCAUUAUUGACCCAAUUUAGUGGGAUGUGAGAUGAGAAAGCAUGCAGGUUUAUAGACACAUCACAUCAUUCUUUAUGUAAUUUAUUUUUGUUUUUACAAAAUAGUUUAAAGUCAGCAUUCUGUCCUUUUCAAACUUCUGGCUUGAAAUGAGACUGUGGUUGCAGUGUACAAUGAUUUGCUACAAUGUGUCUAAAGCACAAAAGUGAAUUGUUAAUAAAAUUCUUAUUUGAGUAUUUAACUUCUGUACUUUCUGGGCCAUAUUAUUCAUAAGAAAGAAAUAUUUCGAUUUAAUUAAUUGCAUUGAUUAAAUUCAAAUCAAUGUGCAGAUUGAUGUAGAUGAUGAUUACUCAAUUAUGAUAUGUAAAAUCUAAUUAAUAUUUAUUAGUACUAUUUACACAUUAGGGAGUUUAUCUUUUUCAAAACAACUCAAUAUUUUUAUUUGGGUUAUACUUAAUUCUGUGCUGUUUUCUAUUCAAAUCUACUCAUAUUAAAUGAAUAACUAUUAAGGAUCUCAUUUAAUUAAUAUUUACUCAAUACUAAACCUUGUGAAAUUUAAUUAAUAAUAUUGCUUGUAAUCUGUUGCCUCAUUUUUAUUGAGUAGAUA